Small nucleolar RNA from Maylandia zebra (zebra mbuna), 133 nucleotides. Its record names the gene SNORA70. It matches the Rfam family "Small nucleolar RNA SNORA70". From Rfam's summary of the family: snoRNA U70 seems to be exclusive to mammals and is a member of the H/ACA class of snoRNA which contain H (ANANNA) and ACA box motifs. H/ACA box snoRNAs are involved in the conversion of uridines to pseudouridines (5-ribosyluracil) a constituent of structural RNAs (transfer, ribosomal, small nuclear, and small nucleolar). NCBI's taxonomy places the organism in Eukaryota, Metazoa, Chordata, Actinopteri, Cichliformes, Cichlidae. The record is from Ensembl.
CUGCAGCUCAUUAAGCCGACCGGUCUCGCUGUGGUGCGGUUCUGGUGUGCAAAGGCUGCAGACACUGACUCUUUGGUUGUGUAUGUCCUCAGCUGGGAGGUGCUGAGUGCUUUAAGGGACCACUGAGACAAAA